CGUGGAGAACCUGCCGUAUACUGGGGAGUAACACUUAGAAAUAGGUGCUAAUACCGCAUAAGCGCACAGCUUCGCAUGAAGCAGUGUGGAAAACAAAAAGCUAAAGCUUUUGGUGGUAUACGAUGGAUCCGCGUCUGAUUAGCUAGUUGGCGGGGUAAAGGCCCACCAAGGCGACGAUCAGUAGCCGGCCUGAGAGGGUGAACGGCCACAUUGGGACUGAGACACGGCCCAAACUCCUACGGGAGGCAGCAG
Molecule: ribosomal RNA, 252 nt
Filed under: uncultured bacterium
Lineage: Bacteria
Description: partial 16S ribosomal RNA
Rfam family: Bacterial small subunit ribosomal RNA
Source: RNAcentral